AUGCACCUGUGUGGUUCUUCGUG
This 23-nucleotide unclassified non-coding RNA is filed under the name Mus musculus (house mouse). RNAcentral describes it as "oocyte_clustered_small_RNA12018". Lineage: Eukaryota; Metazoa; Chordata; Mammalia; Rodentia; Muridae. The record is from RNAcentral.